AAUGUAUCUAGUCAAUAAUAUGGGACAGAUACAUCCAAUAUUCUAUGAAUCUAAAAAGUAAACUUUUUCUUAUGAUAAAGAUCGGAUGGAAUAUUUAUCAAGAGAGAAACACUUUCUUCUAAAUUUUGUAUAGUAUAAAAUGACAAAAACACCUACAAAUGUGAGAAAUUAAAAGGUCUGAAAUACACUAAUUAUGAUUUUAGAUCCGUAUACGUUAACUCCAACUUCCAAGGUUAUUGCAUUGAACAUGUAAUGGAUUGGAUUGAAGCUGUUGAUAAUCAAAAUCAAAUGCACACUGUGCAACAAGAGAAAGAAAAAAAAUCAAAUAAUACUAGUGCACUAAGGGUGUGUUUGGUUGUGAAAAGAAAAUAAGUGGAGAGAAAUAUGUUCGAGGGAGUAUAAGAAGAGAGAAAUAUGUAAGAAAUAGAGAUGAUUUGAUGUAUUGAUUGGUAGAAGAGAGAAAAGUUGAUUAUAUUUAAAAGUACCAAAAUACCCCUAAUAAGAGAACUUCAAUCAAAAUUAAUUUAAUUUUCAAGUAAUUUAUUAGGUAGUAAUUUUUUAACAUUUUAUAUUUAAAUUAACAAAAUUAUUAUUAAUCUAAAGUUAAUUUACGUUUAUUAAAAAUCUUAAACAACAUACUUUUUAAGACAAAGAGAGUAUAAUAUACUCUUUCAUUUUUUUAAUAUAAGAUAAAUUGUACUUUUUAGAUUGACUUAAAUAUGUAACUAGUCUCUACAGUUUCAUUGUCUUUUGAUAUUAGUUCCUACACUUUUUUUGGUUGGGUCUAAGUCUUGUAGUUUCUAAACAGUUUGUUUUUAGUCCUUGGUGUUACUCAAACGUUACAAAAAUGGUUGAAAUUAACGGAGUGUCACGUGGACCAACCAAUAUAAGCCACGUGGCAUGGUCGAAGUCUCAUUUUUAUUUUUACUUUUUUGCCAAUUUGAUUUCAUAUUAAUGUUUUAUUAAUAAAAAUAAAUAACCAUGAAAAAGAAACAUUUUUUUGACAAAAAAUGAAAAAGAAAGAUAAAUUGCAUAAAAGAGGGGCUUCCAUCUUCUUCGUGAAACCAUAACUUACCAAACACAAUCAACUCAAGAAGCACCAAAUUUUGCCACUGCAUAUAUCAAUUAUAAAUCUCACUCUUUAGUGUGCAAUAACAAGUUGUAUGAGCACAAAACAUGGAUAACUCUUUUUCUUCUUUUUUUGAAGAAACUAAAUUAGCCCACCCAAAUUGGCAUCAGAGAGAAUCGAACCUCAGAAGUCAGACCUCAAGAGGAGCGCACUCUCAGGUCCCAAGUGGGUUCAUGGAUAACGCUUGUUGACUGAAUGAGGAGAAUAAAACCAAAAGGGCAAUUAAGGUAACAACAAUGAAGAACAAUGGAGUCACAACAACGUAACUCUUUCUUUUAUAUUGAAGCAUUUGAAGCUAACAAUGAAGGUGGGGCUGUUGUGGGGAUUGAUGGAGAUUGGAGAAGAUGAAAUUGGGUGGUGUUGUGGAAUAAGAAGAUAAAUAAGAACACAAAUUGAUGUUUUGCUAAGGAAUAGAUGUGGUUUCACGAAGAAGAAGAUCAUGCCCUCUCUUUAUGCAAUUUCUGUUUCCUUUUCAUAUUAACGACUCAAAAUAAGAUAUAUUAAUAAAAAACAAUCUCUUCAGUACAAGAUCUACUGAAAUGGACUACAAAGAGUCAAAGAAAGAUAAUCAUAAAUAAAUAACACAAGACCCAAACAAAAUAAGAGAUUAGACCACCAACUAUAAUAGUUGAGAACUAAAAUAACUCUCAUCGUCUUCAAUCACCUAUAAAAAAAAUUUAUAUAUUUAAUAUAUUAAAUACUUUAGAUUUUCAAUAAAUCUAAAAAAAAAUAAAAUUUAACUUAUAUUAUUGGAGGGAAUAUUUCAGAAUUCUUACAAGAUCGUCGUCACCACUUACCUGACACCAUUGUCUAACCAUAAUUCGAUUGUACCUUUUUGUGAAGCUGAAAUUUUAUGGUCUAAACUGAUUUGUCCACCUUCUAAGAAAAUGACAACACAACCGCACUUAUUUCUGACAUGACCUACAACAGUGAUCCGUGCUAGUGUAUCAUGCAUUGCUGGGUAUGAGCUCAAAUAUUUCUUGUUUAAGGGACAUACGAAGUUUCAUAUAUAGGCCACAAAUCUGGCCAUUAAACUACAUGUUUUCUAUUUAUACAUCUCUUAUAUUUAGAGUCGGAUGAAGUAUAUAAAAUAAAAAUUAGUGACAAAAACACGAAAGAGUAUGGAUUUGAUAUAAAUAUUUAGAGUCGGAUGAAGUAUAUAAAAUAAAAAUUAGUGACAAAAACACGAAAGAGUAUGGAUUUGAGAUUUUAUAUCAUGAUAUUUAAUUUUAUGUAUAGAUCUAUGACUUUGUUGAAAUAAACAAUUUAUUUUGCAACUUAAGCACAAACUCUUGUAAUAUAAGC
This 2434-nucleotide long non-coding RNA is filed under the name Trifolium pratense (red clover). Its description in RNAcentral is "long non-coding RNA (TPRA_LNC002731)". Lineage: Eukaryota; Viridiplantae; Streptophyta; Magnoliopsida; Fabales; Fabaceae. The record is from RNAcentral.